UCAUAUCCUUUUCCACUGAAGACAAAAGUCAGAUGUUAGUGGGUUUUUUGUAAAGUGUGAAAUGGGCUUAAAUUGGGAGAUGUGUGGUGCAGCAAGACCUUGCACUGUCCCCCAGGAUGAGAUGCCCACAGCUGGAUUGAAGGGGGGUGCAGGAACACAAGACUCUGCAGAAUGGAUUCUGAUACUGAUGAUGAGAACACCUUCAUAGGCAUUCAUGUUGGAAUCCUCUGCCUUCAACAAGAUAUGGCCAAAAGCCUGACCUCUCCUCACCUGAACCCAUCAAAAGCAGAGAUCGUCUUGGAAGACAGUGUUGUAUUUAGGGCAAUGUACCUCCAAUGAACUGCACCUGGAGUAGCCAGAGUGCAUCAAAAACAUUUUAACUUUUUUCAGUGCAUGAGGCUGAACCUUGGUAGAGGUUACCUGAUACCCAAAAUUCAAAAUCUAUAAAAUCAACUUCCAAGUGCAGGACAAGCCUGCUCUGACAUGAAAUAUAAAGGUAAUAUUUUAGGAUGAUACACUCAAUGUUUUGUAUGAAUAUGUCAACAAAAAAUUGUGUUUUAUUGCUGUUAUGUUAUUGUAAAUAAAAUUUUGAUACAUGCACUGUAUUGUGUUUAUUAGUAAAGAAGACACAUGAUGAGUUUUCUCAACUUAAA
Xiphias gladius (swordfish) is the source of this 653-nucleotide long non-coding RNA. RefSeq lists it as uncharacterized. The record is from RefSeq and is a predicted model, not a curated record. The transcript has 3 exons. NCBI's taxonomy places the organism in Eukaryota, Metazoa, Chordata, Actinopteri, Istiophoriformes, Xiphiidae.